GGACUUCAGUCGAGCUUCUAUAAUAAGCGGUCCCCAUCCGAGCUUCCACGGUAACUGGUCUCCAUCCGAGCUUCUACAGUAAGUGGCCUCUUUCCAGACUCCUACAAGAACCAGACUCCGUCCGAACUUCUACAACAGAAUUGGAUUCCAGACGAACUUCUACAACGGAUGGGCUCCAGCAGCCAAAUUUCUAUAGUGACCGACUGUCUCUGGUGUCUUUCGUACCUCUCCAGCC
RNAcentral lists this long non-coding RNA (235 nucleotides) under Elaeis guineensis (African oil palm). RNAcentral's name for it is "long non-coding RNA (EGUI_LNC074692)". Lineage: Eukaryota; Viridiplantae; Streptophyta; Magnoliopsida; Arecales; Arecaceae. The record is from RNAcentral.